Molecule: ribosomal RNA, 868 nt
Filed under: Phytoecia rufiventris
Lineage: Eukaryota; Metazoa; Arthropoda; Insecta; Coleoptera; Cerambycidae
Description: eukaryotic LSU rRNA
Rfam family: Eukaryotic large subunit ribosomal RNA
Source: RNAcentral
AUAACCUUUGCGGAGAAGAACUAACUAGGAUUCCCUCAGUAGCUGCGAGCGAACAGGGAAGAGCCCAGCACCGAAUCCCGCGGCCGAUAUCGGGCGCCGGGAAAUGUGGUGUUAGGGAGGAUCCGUUUAUCCCGAGACCGUACGGCGCGUCCAAGUCCUUCUUGAACGGGGCCACAGCCCAUAGAGGGUGCCAGGCCCGUAGCGACCGCCGUCGAUCGCGGGAGGAUCUCUCCUCAGAGUCGGGUUGCUUGAGAGUGCAGCCCUAAGAGGGUGGUAAACUCCAUCUAAGGCUAAAUAUGACCACGAGACCGAUAGCGAACAAGUACCGUGAGGGAAAGUUGAAAAGCACUUUGAAGAGAGAGUUCAAGAGUACGUGAAACCGUUCAGGGGUAAACCUGAGAAACCCGAAAGGUCGAAAGGGGAAAUUCAUUCGCGUUUCGACCGUCGGAGCGGAACGUUCGCGUGACGGACGCGGCGUGCGCAAGUACGUCGCGAUUCCGCGCCUUUCGUUUCGCGAAUCGGCGUCGAACGCGUGCACUUUUCCCCUAGUAGGACGUCGCGAUCCGUUGGGUGUCGGUCUAAGGCCCGCGGCGGAGCCCGGACGCUCGCUUCACGGCGUAGCGUCCGGACCCGCGGUGUCCCGGCCGGCUCGCUCGACGGUAUACAGAUGGCGCGGGGCCGCUACUUUUCAGUUAGCGUUCGGCCCGCGGCAAGCGCGUCCGCUCGCGACGGCGAUCGGACCUAGUGCCGGUCCUGUCCACGGACGACUGUUGGCCGCGGUGUUCUCGAACAGACCUCGAUUCUUGAAACGCCGAUCUGCGACGCUAUAGCUUUGGGUACUUUCAGGACCCGUCUUGAACACGCCCCA